AAAAGGGGGGGGGGGGGGGCAAGUGUGAGCUGUAGUACCAAUCCAGGGGGCUAAUGAUCACGAUGUUGGCUGGAGGUGGGGAGGGGAGACCAAUGAAAAUCGAUAGCACUACGCCACGACAUGACGUGACGGCCAGAUGGGCUAUCUCCCAGUGGGUGGAAACACAGGUGAAGGAGACAAAACCUCUCAAAUCUAUGGCUGCUAUGACGUCAUGUCAGCCAAGCUACACUUACACAGAAACACGUGGUUACAGAAUGUGACAGAGCAGCAUCUUUAGGAGCUGAAUCUGGAUACGCUACCUUACAUUAAUUGAAACUUUGUACGACCAAUGAACUGACAGAGAGAGCUAGACCCA
Biomphalaria pfeifferi is the source of this 355-nucleotide non-coding RNA. The record is from the annotation of a GenBank genome assembly. Lineage: Eukaryota; Metazoa; Mollusca; Gastropoda; Planorbidae.